UACGGAAGGCAGCAGUGGGGAAUAUUGCACAAUGGGCGCAAGCCUGAUGCAGCCAUGCCGCGUGUAUGAAAAAGGCCUUCGGGUUGUAAAGUACUUUCAGUCGUGAGGAAGGUGUUAAGGUUAAUAACCUUAGCAAUUGACGUUAGCGACAGAAGAAGCACCGGCUAACUCCGUGCCAGCAGCCGCGGUAAUACGGAGGGUGCGAGCGUUAAUCGGAAUUACUGGGCGUAAAGGGCACGCAGGCGGUUAAUUAAGUUGGAUGUGAAAUCCCCGGGCUUAACCUGGGAAUGGCAUUCAAAACUGGUUAGCUAGAGUCUUGUAGAGGGGGUAGAAUUCCAUGUGUAGCGGUGAAAUGCGUAGAGAUGUGGAGGAAUACCGGUGGCGAAGGCGGCCCCUGGACAAAGACUGCGCUCAUGUGCGAAAGCGUGGGGAGCAAACAGGGAUUAGAUACCCGU
This 455-nucleotide ribosomal RNA is filed under the name uncultured bacterium. Its description in RNAcentral is "bacterial SSU rRNA". It matches the Rfam family "Bacterial small subunit ribosomal RNA", at positions 340 to 789 of the family's 1533-position model. The record is from RNAcentral.